Molecule: ribosomal RNA, 262 nt
Filed under: uncultured bacterium
Lineage: Bacteria
Description: partial 16S ribosomal RNA
Rfam family: Bacterial small subunit ribosomal RNA
Source: RNAcentral
GGGUCCUACGGGAGGCAGCAGUGGGGAAUAUUGCACAAUGGGGGAAACCCUGAUGCAGCGACGCCGCGUGAGUGAAGAAGUAUUUCGGUAUGUAAAGCUCUAUCAGCAGGGAAGAAAUACUGACCUUACGGUCAGCAGACGGUACCUGACUAAGAAGCCCCGGCUAACUACGUGCCAGCAGCCGCGGUAAUACGUAGGGGGCAAGCGUUAUCCGGCUUUACUGGGUGUAAAGAGGGCGUAGUCGGCGGCGCAAGUCUGUAGU